AGAGUUUGAUCCUGGCUCAGAACGUACGCUGGCGGCACGCCUAACACAUGCAAGUCGAACGAAGUAGCAAUACUUAGUGGCAGACGGGUGAGUAACAUGUAGGUAUCUGCCCUUUGGCCUGGAAUAACACGAGGAAACUUGUGCUAAUACCGGAUAAGUCUUUACGGAGAAAGCUUUAUGCACCAUUGGAUGAGCCUGCACUUGAUUAGUUUGUUGGUGGGGUAAUGGCCUACCAAGACUGUGAUCAAUAGCUGAUUUGAGAGGAUGAUCAGCCACAUUGGGACUGAGACACGGCCCAAACUCCUACGGGAGGCAGCAGUGGGGAAUCUUGCACAAUGGAGGAAACUCUGAUGCAGCGAUGCCGCGUGAGUGAAGAAGGCCUUUGGGUUGUAAAGCUCUUUCGUCGGGGAAGAAAAUGACUGUACCCGAAUAAGAAGGUCCGGCUAACUUCGUGCCAGCAGCCGCGGUAAUACGAAGGGACCUAGCGUAGUUCGGAAUUACUGGGCUUAAAGAGUUCGUAGGUGGUUGAAAAAGUUAGUGGUGAAAUCCCAGAGCUUAACUCUGGAACUGCCAUUAAAACUUUUCAGCUAGAGUAUGAUAGAGGAAAGCAGAAUUUCUAGUGUAGAGGUGAAAUUCGUAGAUAUUAGAAAGAAUACCAAUUGCGAAGGCAGCUUUCUGGAUCAUUACUGACACUGAGGAACGAAAGCAUGGGUAGCGAAGAGGAUUAGAUACCCUCGUAGUCCAUGCCGUAAACGAUGUGUGUUAGACGUUGGAAAUUUAUUUUCAGUGUCGCAGCGAAAGCGAUAAACACACCGCCUGGGGAGUACGACCGCAAGGUUAAAACUCAAAUGAAUUGACGGGGACCCGCACAAGUAGUGGAGCAUGUGGUUUAAUUCGAAGAUACGCGCAGAACCUUACCAACACUUGACAUGUUCGUCGCGACUCUAAGAGAUUAGAGUUUUCGGUUCGGCCGGACGAAACACAGGUGCUGCAUGGCUGUCGUCAGCUCGUGUCGUGAGAUGUUGGGUUAAGUCCCGCAACGAGCGCAACCCUCACUUUUAGUUGCCAUCAUUAAGUUGGGCACUCUGAAAGAACUGCCAGUGAUAAGCUGGAGGAAGGUGGGGAUGACGUCAAGUCCUCAUGGCCCUUACGUGUUGGGCUACACACGUGCUACAAUGGUAUCUACAACAGGAAGCAAAACGGCAACGUUAAGCAAAUCCCGAAAAGAUACCUCAGUUCGGAUUGCACUCUGCAACUCGAGUGCAUGAAGCUGGAAUUACUAGUAAUCGUGGAUCAGCGUGCCACGGUGAAUGCGUUCCCGGGUCUUGUACACACCGCCCGUCACACCAUGGGAGUUGGUUCUACCUUAAGGCAAGGCUUUAAACCCUUGACCACGGUAUAGUCAGCGACUGGGGUGAAGUCGUAACAAGGUAACC
This 1436-nucleotide ribosomal RNA is filed under the name uncultured bacterium. RNAcentral's name for it is "bacterial SSU rRNA". It matches the Rfam family "Bacterial small subunit ribosomal RNA". The record is from RNAcentral.